Molecule: transfer RNA, 74 nt
Filed under: Planctomycetota bacterium
Lineage: Bacteria; Pseudomonadati; Planctomycetota
Also listed under: 2 other names
Description: tRNA-Arg
Rfam family: tRNA
About the family: Transfer RNA (tRNA) molecules are approximately 80 nucleotides in length.
Source: RNAcentral
GCGCCUGUAGCUCAAUUGGAUAGAGCAUCGGUCUACGGAACCGAAGGUUGGGGGUUCGAGCCCCUCCAGGCGUA